Molecule: ribosomal RNA, 468 nt
Filed under: uncultured bacterium
Lineage: Bacteria
Description: partial 16S ribosomal RNA
Rfam family: Bacterial small subunit ribosomal RNA
Source: RNAcentral
GAUGAACGAUGGCGGCGUGCUUAACACAUGCAAGUCGAACGGUGAACACGGAGAUUGCUCUGUGGGAUCAGUGGCGAAGGGGUGAGUAACACGUGAGCAACCUGCCCCUGACUCUGGGAUAAGCGCUGGAAACGGCGUCAACUACUGGAUAUGUGACGUGAUCGCAUGGUCUGCGUCUGGAAAGAAUUUCGGUUGGGCAUGGGGAGGCGGCCUAUCGGCUUGUUGGGGAGGUGAUGCCUCACCAAGGCGUCGACGGGUAGCCUGCCUGAGUGGGUGACAGGCCACGCAGGGCAUGAGCCACCGCACAGACUCCUACAGCAUGCACAGGUGGAAGAUUUUGCACAUUAGACGCAAGCAGGAUGCAGCAACGCUGCGAGAGGGCAGACGGCGUUCGGGUUGUAAACCUCUUUUAGCAGGAAAGAAGCGAAAGUGACGGUACCUGCAGAAAGAGCGCCGGCUAACUACGUG